Molecule: ribosomal RNA, 253 nt
Filed under: uncultured bacterium
Lineage: Bacteria
Description: partial 16S ribosomal RNA
Rfam family: Bacterial small subunit ribosomal RNA
Source: RNAcentral
UACGUAGGGGGCCAGCGUUGUCCGAAGUUACUGGGCGUAAAGAGCGCGUAGGCGGGUCUUUAAGUGAGAGGUGAAAUUCUGAGGCUCAACCUCGGAACUGCCUUUCAUACUGGGGACCUUGAGUGCGGGAGAGGCGAGUGGAAUGGUCGGUGUAGCGGUGAAAUGCGUAGAUAUCGAUCGGAACACCCAUGGCGAAGGCAGCUCGCUGGCCUGCAACUGACGCUGAGGCGCGAAGCCGGGGGAGCAAACAGGA